UACGUAGGGUGCAAGCGUUGUCCGGAAUUAUUGGGCGUAAAGAGCUCGUAGGCGGUUUGUUGCGUCGGCUGUGAAAUCCCGAGGCUCAACCUCGGGUCUGCAGUCGAUACGAGCAAACUAGAGUGUUGCAGGGGAGACUGGAAUUCCUGGUGUAGCGGUGAAAUGCGCAGAUAUCAGGAGGAACACUGGUGGCGAAGGCGGGGUCUCUGGGCAACAACUGACGCUGAGGAGCGAAAGCGUGGGGGAGCGAACAGG
Molecule: ribosomal RNA, 255 nt
Filed under: uncultured bacterium
Lineage: Bacteria
Description: partial 16S ribosomal RNA
Rfam family: Bacterial small subunit ribosomal RNA
Source: RNAcentral